This 2987-nucleotide long non-coding RNA is filed under the name Phoenix dactylifera (date palm). RNAcentral's name for it is "long non-coding RNA (PDAC_LNC002485)". The record is from RNAcentral. Lineage: Eukaryota; Viridiplantae; Streptophyta; Magnoliopsida; Arecales; Arecaceae.
AGGUUCUAUUUUCGCAGGUCCUUCGCCGGACCAAAUUCUGGCCGUCACCAAUCGGGUGAUGGAGGAUGUGAUGGACCCCGGCCAUCACCCCGGAGGAAAGACUCCAAGAUGCCUUGGAGUUCUUGGACUCUCUUGAUCAGGAAGAAAGAUUGAAUUCCUUAUACAAAGUCAUAAGGAAGGAAAUCAAACGCGUUGUUUGAGAAGGUGUUUCAUAUAUCUGAGUCGAACAUUUAUCGGAUACUUGGAUACUUAUGAAGUUCGAUGGUUGCCACUUGAAUGAUUAGUGGAGAGCUAUACUCGUCUCACAAUAUGAGUGUGACCUUUCAUUUUCAUGUUAGAAUCAACUAUGGUUUCUUUGUAGUGAUUGGCCCAUGGAUGUAGGUAUAAAUAACUUUGCAAAAUGUUAUUUUCUUAUAUUUCUUAAGUUGACUAGGAAUUUUGAAUGAGAAACAUAUAUAUUGAAAGAACUUAACAAGAAAUAUUUUCUUAAUAUUUAUUUUUAAUUUUUAAACAAACAAUAUUAAAGGUCUGGAUAUAUAUUAUUUUAUUCAAUAUUAUAAUUCAUCCUAUGCAUCCCUCCUGCCGAAUCAGACACCAGGAUACGUGUCUGAAUUCAAUUCUCAAAUUCAUGCCCAUGCAAUAGUAGCAUGCACAAGCCUGAAACAAAUGAAAUAGUAUUAAGAUAAAAGAAUCACAUUUUGCCAUUGUGUUACUGAAUCUGUUCUGGCCUUAAUUGAUUGCAGAGUAUCUCAUGAUGAUCUUUUUUUUUUUAAAUUUCACAUUAACUGUGUAUUACUAUAAUUAGCCUUGUUAGCUAUAUCCUUGGAUAUAUUUUGUGUAUCACUUUCAACAACUGUGAGAUCUGUUUCCUUUUAUUUGCAUGACACAGCAAAUUCUAUGUGCUCGUGAUUGAAUUAUCGAUCCUUCUCCGUUAUCUUGUGUUUGUGGGGCCUUUUUUUUGUUUUUUUGAUAUGGGUGUUUGUCUACCUGAUUUCACUGGAAGACAGACAUCACCUGUUUCUCUGAAAUUCCAUCUUUGAUGGCUGAAACUGUUUUCUCAGGUCAUUCUUAUAAACAAGGAGAGAAAAUAGAUGGCUUCAUAUUCGGAGCUGACCCUGGUUUGCCUGUGGAGUCCAACUCUUCUGAGGAAGCCUCCAAGGUCGAUCAGCCGAGAAUUGCCUACCGCUGCAAAAAGUGCUGCAGGGUCGUCGCAUUGCAAGACAAUGUUGUAAGCCAUGUACCAGGCGAGAGCGAGACCUGCUUCGAGUGGCAAAAAAGAAGAAGUGGCAACAUGUUCGACAGGUUUCGGGAGACAGAAUGCUCUUCUUUAUUUGUCGAGCCUUUGAAGUGGAUGAUCUCAGGUAGAACAAUUUGAUCCUUUUUCUUUUCCAGAUCUCUACUUUUCCAAAUUGCGUGCAUUUAUGUUUGGCUGGAAGGAAAGCAAGCCUGGCAACUUGGCUUUAUUGCUUUUCUUGUGACUCGUGACAGUCGAAGAGGGUGCAUUGGAAGGAAAGCUCUCAUGCAUCCAGUGUGAUGCACGCCUAGGGUACUUCAAUUGGUCAGGCAUUCAGUGCAGCUGUGGCAGCUGGAUCACCCCUGCAUUCCAGAUUCAUAAGAGUAAAGUGGAUAUCAGCACAGUUUGAUGUUGAACGAGGAUACCAAAGCAAACAGCAAGACUCCUCUGUGUACAUACGCAAAGCAGCCUCAGAAUCUUAAUGCCUCUUUAAGUAUAUAAUUAAGAACUCAAACCACUGAACCUGGAGUAUUGAUUCAGUUCAUGAUCUUCUUCAUUAGCUUGCUCGCCUGGAGCUAUGUUUGCUUGUACUAGGAUUUUUAUGUCAUGAAGUAAACGAUGUUCUCAUUCGCUCUUCUUGCAACCAGGCUGCAUAAUCUUUUAAUUUCUUGCAGUUGGAGUUGAUAAGAGCUGCUUUAUGUUGAGGUGGCGCAUGUUAUAGCACCUUUGGAGUCGAAUCUAUGUAUAAAUAAAUUGAAAAAUUAGAGCAUGGAGUUAAUGCAAGGAAGCUCCUGUUCAAAGCAUUCUGCUCAGUUCAAGGAUGAGCGAUUUCCUAAAAUUUCAUGUACAUUUAUUUCUGGCCAUACAUUUGAUUGCCGUUAAAAGUCAUGAGAACUCCAUCAUGACCCUUCUGAAUGAUUCUUUAGCAGCCUUAUCAUUUCAAAGAGUACAUGGCGCUUGGGCAAGGUAUUGUAAUCCAUCCAUCAAAUGAAUUCUGAUUAAAUUCUAAUGAGUUCUAGCUGCUAAUUUCUGGUUCGUUCUGUGCAAAGCAUGGAUCUUCGACCCUGUUCUUGCCCCCAACUUCCACCCCUCCCCGCCACCCAUCACCCCCUUCUGCCCCACCAAUGUUCUGAAUAUGGUCAAGUGAUGCUUUGCUGGGACCAUGUAACUAGCAGAUCAGAACAAGUUUUAUACAACUAUUGAUCCUCAAUCCAUACAGAUGCUCAAAAAUUCAAACAUGAUGACCAACGCUUUACUUUCAUAUAUUUGGAAUAUUAAGUGGUCUAUUAAACAUACUAUCACUCAUCAAAGGAUUUGAUUUAUGACAGCUACAAUUUGUUCAGCUAAACUAUAAGCUCUAAAGAUCGGAGCUACCACAUGCCUUCUUUAACAAGAACAUCUAACCAUUCAUGUGUUCAUAUGAUGCCGGUUCGUAUGCAUUACCCUUUUUUUUUUUUAUCUCAAAAGCACAAAACAUCAGAUCAAAACCUUUAAACUGGGGAGGAGCCUGUAAACACCAACACUGAAACCAGAAUGGAGCCGAUCACAGUCGAUGCAGUAUUAAGCUCGGAGACAAAUGAAUAUGGGACCAGUUCACUCGUUAUGCUCGGAUGUCAGAAGAGCAGUGCAGCUAGUCAGUUUUGGAAGUGGUACACUGACAAAAUAAUGCUAUUGAGACUGUGCUUCAAGAAGGAUGUUAGUGGCCACAUUGAUGUCAUUUCCAGCGUGUAUCAGCGCCUGUCUGGCAGAAUUG